Molecule: ribosomal RNA, 497 nt
Filed under: uncultured bacterium
Lineage: Bacteria
Description: partial 16S ribosomal RNA
Rfam family: Bacterial small subunit ribosomal RNA
Source: RNAcentral
GACGAACGCUGGCGGCGUGCCUAAUACAUGCAAGUUGAGCGCUGAAGGUUGGUACUUGUACCAACUGGAUGAGCAGCGAACGGGUGAGUAACGCGUGGGGAAUCUGCCUUUGAGCGGGGGACAACAUUUGGAAACGAAUGCUAAUACCGCAUAAAAACUUUAAACACAAGUUUUAAGUUUGAAAGAUGCAAUUGCAUCACUCAAAGAUGAUCCCGCGUUGUAUUAGCUAGUUGGUGAGGUAAAGGCUCACCAAGGCGAUGAUACAUAGCCGACCUGAGAGGGUGAUCGGCCACAUUGGGACUGGGACACGGCCCAAACUCCUACGGGAGGCAGCAGUAGGGAGUCUUCGGCAAUGGACGAAAGUCUGACCGGGCAACGCCGCGUGAGUGAAGAAGGUUUUCGGAUCGUAAAACUCUGUUGGUAGAGAAGAACGUUGGUGAGAGUGGAAAGCUCAUCAAGUGACGGUAACUACCCAGAAAGGGACGGCUAACAACGUG